GGUCCCAUCUGGCUCAGUUGGUAGAGCAUGGCGCUUGCAACGCCAGGGAUGUGGGUUUGAUUCCCAUGUGGAACCA
Non-coding RNA from Oncorhynchus nerka (sockeye salmon), 76 nucleotides. The record is from the annotation of a RefSeq genome assembly. Lineage: Eukaryota; Metazoa; Chordata; Actinopteri; Salmoniformes; Salmonidae.